AAGCGUGCGCAGGCGGUUAUAUAAGACAGAUGUGAAAUCCCCGGGCCUCAACCUGGGAACUGCAUUUGUGACUGUAUAGCUGGAGUGCGGCAGAGGGGGAUGGAAUUCCGCGUGUAGCAGUGAAAUGCGUAGAUAUGCGGAGGAACACCGAUGGCGAAGGCAAUCCCCUGGGCCUGCACUGACGCUCAUGCACGAAAGCGUGGGGAGCAAACAGGAUUAGAUACCCCAGU
This 230-nucleotide ribosomal RNA is filed under the name uncultured bacterium. Its description in RNAcentral is "partial 16S ribosomal RNA". It matches the Rfam family "Bacterial small subunit ribosomal RNA", at positions 563 to 791 of the family's 1533-position model. The record is from RNAcentral.